Molecule: ribosomal RNA, 485 nt
Filed under: uncultured bacterium
Lineage: Bacteria
Description: partial 16S ribosomal RNA
Rfam family: Bacterial small subunit ribosomal RNA
Source: RNAcentral
AUUGAACGCUGGCGGCAGGCCUAACACAUGCAAGUCGAGCGGAUGAAGGGAGCUUGCUCCUGGAUUCAGCGGCGGACGGGUGAGUAAUGCCUAGGAAUCUGCCUGGUAGUGGGGGAUAACGUCCGGAAACGGGCGCUAAUACCGCAUACGUCCUGAGGGAGAAAGUGGGGGAUCUUCGGACCUCACGCUAUCAGAUGAGCCUAGGUCGGAUUAGCUAGUUGGUGGGGUAAAGGCCUACCAAGGCGACGAUCCGUAACUGGUCUGAGAGGAUGAUCAGUCACACUGGAACUGAGACACGGUCCAGACUCCUACGGGAGGCAGCAGUGGGGAAUAUUGGACAAUGGGCGAAAGCCUGAUCCAGCCAUGCCGCGUGUGUGAAGAAGGGCUUCGGAUUGUAAAGCACUUUAAGUUGGGAGGAAGGGCAGUAAGUUAAUACCUUGCUGUUUUGACGUUACCAACAGAAUAAGCACCGGCUAACUUCGUGC